UAUUCCUAGCUUUAUUACUAA
This 21-nucleotide non-coding RNA is filed under the name Caenorhabditis elegans. Lineage: Eukaryota; Metazoa; Nematoda; Chromadorea; Rhabditida; Rhabditidae. The record is from RNAcentral.